Molecule: ribosomal RNA, 460 nt
Filed under: uncultured bacterium
Lineage: Bacteria
Description: partial 16S ribosomal RNA
Rfam family: Bacterial small subunit ribosomal RNA
Source: RNAcentral
GACGAACGCUGGCGGCGUGCUUAACACAUGCAAGUCGAGCGGUAAGGCCUCUUCGGGGGUCCACGAGCGGCGAACGGGCGCGUAACACGUGGGUGACCUGCCCUCAGUACCGGGAUAAGCCUGGGACACUGGGCCUAAUACCGGGAAUGACCUUUCCUCGCACGGGGGUUGGUGGAAAGUUUUUUUGGCUGGGGAUGGGGCCGCGGCCUAUCUGCUUGUUGGUGGGGUGAUGGCCUACCAAGGCGAGGACGGGUAGCCGGCCUGGGAGGGCGACCGGCCACACGGGGACUGGGGCACGGCCCAGACUCCUUCGGGGAGGAGGAGGGGGGGAAAUUGCGCAAUGGGCGGAAACCUGACGCAGCGACGCCGCGUGGAGGAAUGCGGCCUUCGGGUUGGAAACCUCUUUCGACCCCGACGAAUUUUGACGGUAGGGGAAGAAGAAGCACCGGCCAACUACGUG